GAUGAACGCUAGCGGCAGGCUUAACACAUGCAAGUCGAGGGGCAGCACGGGUAGCAAUACCUGGUGGCGACCGGCGCAAGGGUGCGUAACGCGUGAGCAACAUGCCCUAUACAGGGGGAUAAUCCAGGGAAACUUGGUCUAAUAUCCCAUAGCAUUUAGAGGAGGCAUCUUCACUAAAUUAAAGCUUCGGUGGUAUAGGAUUGGCUCGCGUGACAUUAGCUAGAUGGUGAGGUAACGGCCCACCAUGGCUAUGAUGUCUAGGGGUUCUGAGAGGAAGACCCCCCACACUGGGACUGAGACACGGCCCAGACUCCUACGGGAGGCAGCAGUGAGGAAUAUUGGACAAUGGAUGGAAAUCUGAUCCAGCCAUGCCGCGUGCAGGAAGACGGCCCUAUGGGUUGUAAACUGCUUUUAUAUGGGAGCAAUAAGGUUUACGAGUAGACCGAUGAGAGUACCAUAUGAAUAAGCAUCGG
Molecule: ribosomal RNA, 473 nt
Filed under: uncultured bacterium
Lineage: Bacteria
Description: bacterial SSU rRNA
Rfam family: Bacterial small subunit ribosomal RNA
Source: RNAcentral